UACGGAGGGUGCAAGCGUUAAUCGGAAUUACUGGGCGUAAAGCGUACGUAGGCGGCUUGUUAAGCAAGAUGUGAAAUCCCCGGGCUCAACCUGGGAAUGGCAUUUUGAACUGGCAGGCUCGAGUUCUGAAGAGGGUGGUAGAAUUUCCAGUGUAGCGGUGAAAUGCGUAGAUAUUGGAAGGAAUACCGGUGGCGAAGGCGGCCACCUGGUCAGAAACUGACGCUGAGGUGCGAAAGCGUGGGGAGCAAACAGG
Molecule: ribosomal RNA, 253 nt
Filed under: uncultured microorganism
Description: partial 16S ribosomal RNA
Rfam family: Bacterial small subunit ribosomal RNA
Source: RNAcentral